AUUUUUAAUGGGUAUAAUUUUUUAAGUUUAAGUUGUGGAUCGGGUGUGGGCAACCCAACACACCCCUCACUCUCUCUCACCCUCCCUCAUUCUUCUCUCUCUCUCCCGUGAGCUCCUCCCGACCCACAGGAGACCUAGCCACUGCCGGCCGCCAGGGACCGCCGGACCACUCCCGUUCGGACCCCCGCCGUCCCCUCUCUCUUUCUGGGCCGGUGACCGGCCGUGCAACGCCGUCGUCCGAGAGAAAACCCGCCGGAGACGCCGGAUAGCCUUUCGCCGGAAAUCCCACCUCCGGCCACCAAAGUUCAGGAUUCUUGGCUCAUCUUGUAGCUCUCAUCAAGGUGAGUAAUCCCUCAAAAGGAAUUGGUUUAAUUCGAUCUUGUUAGGGUGAAAUGUUUAAUUGAAGUUCUAGGGAUUUUUGGAUGUUUUAGUUCGAUUACCCUAGUUAGCCUUAGAAUUGGAUUAAGUGCUAGUUAUGAGAGCUGUUGUGCAUGAUGAGAUGAUUAUUCUGCUAAAAUUUGAGAAGCUUUGGUCCUUGCCGGAAUACGGCUGCCGGCCGGCGCCGCCGCCUUAAGGGUAGUUUUUCCUGUUUUUGAGAUAGUUUUAAUAAGAGGAGUUUAUUGAAGUACAGUUAAUUUUUGAAUGAGUUUUGGUUAGGUUUGGAAUUUUUUGAAGAUUGGAGAGAAUGGCGGUUGUUAGGAUGAAUCCGGCCGUUGGAUUUCCUUGAUAUUUAUUCUAAAAUGUUAGAAUUGAGGAAUUAAGGUUAUGGUGGAGUUUGGUGGAAAUCCGAUGAGCUUAACCCUAGUUAGAGUAGUGGGUUAAGCGGAAGAGAUUUGGGUGUUUAUUUUCAAAUGUUUAAUUUUCCAGAAUUUAAGUUUGGUCCUAAGCAUAUUUAUUGUGCCAGGAUACGAAAGGAAUCUCGCUUGAGUAGUGAUUCGGAAUUCGUCAGGCUUAGGCCUAAAUCAGUGAGUGGACAUUUUGGUUUUUAAUUAAUAUGCAUGCAUGAUUUUAUAAGUUGCCUAUUAUAUUUUCCAAGCUUAAAUUAUAAUUUCAGCUUUUGAAUUGGUUAUGGAAUUUAAUGGAGAUUGACAGAAUGGUUAUGUUUUCGAUAAUGAACUUAUGGAUUUGAGCUUGGGUAAGAGUUUUGUUAUUUGAAUUAUGAUAUUCUUUUGAUCUCCGGAUUUGAGAUUUCUUUAAAGAUUUGAGUAUUGUCUAAUUUAUGAAACAUGGUAAUGAUAUGAGUUAUUUAUUUUAUUAAGCGUUUUAACGUGUGGGACACGUCGUUGAAUUUAAUUAAUUUCUUUACUCUUUGAAU
This 1315-nucleotide long non-coding RNA is filed under the name Fragaria vesca (wild strawberry). RNAcentral's name for it is "long non-coding RNA (FVES_LNC005118)". Lineage: Eukaryota; Viridiplantae; Streptophyta; Magnoliopsida; Rosales; Rosaceae. The record is from RNAcentral.